This 554-nucleotide ribosomal RNA is filed under the name uncultured bacterium. Its description in RNAcentral is "partial 16S ribosomal RNA". It matches the Rfam family "Bacterial small subunit ribosomal RNA", at positions 355 to 900 of the family's 1533-position model. The record is from RNAcentral.
UAGGGAAUCUUCCACAAUGGACGCAAGUCUGAUGGAGCAACGGCCGCGUGAGUGAAGAAGGUUUUCGGACCGUAAAGCUCUGUUGUUGGUGAAGAAGGAUAGAGGUAGUAACUGGCCUUUAUUUGACGGUAAUCAACCAGAAAGUCACGGCUAACUACGUGCCAGCAGCCGCGGUAAUCGUAGGUGGCAAGCGUUGUCCGGAUUUAUUGGGCGUAAAGCGAGCGCAGGCGGAAGAAUAAGUCUGAUGUGAAAGCCCUCGGCUUAACCGAGGAAUUGCAUCGGAAACUGUUUUCUUGAGUGCAGAAGAGGAGAGUAGAACUCCAUGUGUAGCGGUGGAAUGCGUAGGUAUAUGGAAGAAUACCAGUGGCGAAGGCGGCUCUCUGGUCUGCAACUGACGCUGAGGCUCGAAAGCAUGGGUAGCGAACAGGAUUAGAUACCCUGGUAGUCCAUGCCGUAAACGAUGAGUGCUAAGUGUUGGGAGGCUUCCGCCUCUCAGUGCUGCAGCUAACGCAUUAAGCACUCCGCCUGGGGGAGUACGACCGCAAGGUUGAAAC